GGCAACGUCACUAGUCCGGGGCCGGCCCGGAGUGGAGAAGAGGGCCUCCCGGCUCCAAAAACCUGCUAAGAUAUAUGUCUCAUGAAGGCUAACCACUGUCCAUAUGCCCUAUAAGCCCAAUUGGGGACCCCUGUUUGGGAUUGCCAUCUAUUAGCCAGAGAAAAGAGCCACAGCAAAAAGGACCUCUCAUACCAGAGCGCUUGUCCAAGACACCAAUAAGAGACCGCCUGGCCAUGUAUCAAGAGCCUCCAUGUAACACUUAAUGCAUGGUCAACUGAAACUUCAAUGGUUUUUGAUGCAGACGCUGGAGGUUUGACAUAGUUCUGUGAAGCUGCUAAUCGACCUUUACAAAGGCCUUAGUAGUCUGUUUUGCUCCAUCAUGGACCCAAGGCACACGUCGUAAGUGACUGCACUGGGAUAAAGGUCUAAGAAGUGGAACUCCAAAAUCUCUUCUGUUUUCGCCACAUAUACACAGUGUAAGAGAACUGAAUGUGUCAUUUAACUCUGAGGCUAAA
This is a long non-coding RNA of Hyla sarda, 515 nucleotides long. RefSeq lists it as uncharacterized. NCBI's taxonomy places the organism in Eukaryota, Metazoa, Chordata, Amphibia, Anura, Hylidae. The transcript is spliced from 3 exons. The record is from RefSeq and is a predicted model, not a curated record.